Molecule: non-coding RNA, 429 nt
Organism: Carassius auratus (goldfish)
Lineage: Eukaryota; Metazoa; Chordata; Actinopteri; Cypriniformes; Cyprinidae
Source: the annotation of a RefSeq genome assembly
UGUGAGUUUAACACUUCAUCACUGACACACACAACAAUCUUCAUCAACAUGACCUUCAUCAUCAUCUUCAUCUGGACACUUUCAUACUGCUUUAUACUACAAGGGUGUAAAGCUCAGAUCACAGUCACUCAGACUCCUUCAGUGAAACCUGUCACACCAGGAGAAAAUGUAGAGAUGAGCUGUAGAUUUAGUUCUGCUCCAUCCUGCAGCCCACCCUGUGUGUCCUGGUACUUACAGAAACCUGGAGAAGCUCCUAAACUCCUGAUUUAUUUGACCAAAAGUCUCAAGUCAGGAACUCCAUCUAGAUUCAGUGGCAGUGGAUCUAACAGUGAUUUCACUCUGACCAUCAGUGGAGUCCAGACUGAAGAUGCUGGACAUUAUUACUGUCAGAGUUAUCACAGCAGUGGUAGUGGUGUGUUCACACAGUGA